RNAcentral lists this ribosomal RNA (516 nucleotides) under uncultured bacterium. RNAcentral describes it as "bacterial SSU rRNA". It matches the Rfam family "Bacterial small subunit ribosomal RNA", at positions 29 to 518 of the family's 1533-position model. The record is from RNAcentral.
ACGAACGCUGGCGGCGUGCCUAAUACAUGCAAGUCGAACGGUCUUUCUAUGGAAGCUUGCUUCCACUGAGAAGAUAGUGGCGAACGGGUGAGUAACACGUGGGUAACCUGCCCAUAAGAGGGGGAUGACAUCCGGAAACGGGUGCUAAUACCGCAUAGUUUUCUUGAUCGCAUGAUUGAGAAAGGAAAGACGGCCUUUGUGCUGUCGCUUAUGGAUGGACCCGCGGCGUAUUGGUUAGUUGGUGAGGUAACGGCUCACCAAGACGAUGAUACGUAGCCGACCUGAGAGGGUGAUCGGCCACAUUGGGACUGAGACACGGCCCAAACUCCUACGGGAGGCAGCAGUAGGGAAUCUUCCGCAAUGGACGAAAGUCUGACGGAGCAACGCCGCGUGAGUGAAGAAAGGUUUUCGGAUCGUAAAACUCUGUUGUCAGAGAAGAACAAGUUGGAGAGUAACUGCUCCAGCCUUGACGGUAUCUGACCAGAAAGCCACGGCUAACUACGUGCCAGCAGCGGC